Molecule: ribosomal RNA, 177 nt
Filed under: Enteromius eutaenia
Lineage: Eukaryota; Metazoa; Chordata; Actinopteri; Cypriniformes; Cyprinidae
Description: partial 12S rRNA
Source: RNAcentral
CACCGCGGUUAGACGAGAGGCCCUAGUUGACAUAAUAUUCGGCGUAAAGAGUGGUUAAGGCUAAAAAAUAAUAAAGCCGAAUGGCCCCUUGGCCGUCAUACGCUUCUAGGCGUCCGAAGCCCUAUUAUACGAAAGUAGCUUUAAUUAAUAUUGCCCGACUCCACGAAAGCUAAGAAA